Molecule: long non-coding RNA, 360 nt
Filed under: Xyrichtys novacula (pearly razorfish)
Lineage: Eukaryota; Metazoa; Chordata; Actinopteri; Labriformes; Labridae
Source: RNAcentral
GCGUGUUGCUGCGACAUCUGAUUCACCGGUAUAUCCAACAUGGCCAACCAGCUGAUUGUUUACGUGUCUGAGAACAGAGUGCUUUUUGAUAAAAGACACAAAUAUUACAAAGAUAACGACCUGAAGGACGACUUGUGGAGAGUCAUAGCGUCGGAUUUCUCAUAUGACGAUGGUUUGUGUGCUUUAACAGUUUGCUAAACAUCUUUGUUUUAACUUUCAUCUGUGCUAAGUAACUUUAGCUCGUAAGCUAACCUCUUCAGAUACAACAUACCAUAUGUAUUUUCACUGUCUCAAACUCAAUCGCAUUGCUGUCACAGCACCAUUAGGUCUCGGUUGUUACCUUAUGUUUAUAGAUUAUAG